UUUGAGCCCCCGAAACUAAGUGAGCUACUUCGGAAUAGUACCAAGAACAAACCCGUCUCUGUUGCAAAAGAGUGGGAUAAUUCCUAAGUAGAGGCGACAAACCUACCGCACCUAGAGAUAGCUGGUUAUUCAAGAAAAGAAUUUAAGUUCAACCUUAAGUUUAUACAUUAAACAAAAAAUACAAAACUUUAGAGCUAUUCAAAUAAGGCACAGCUUAUUUGAAACAGAAUACAACCUACAACACAGGGUAAAAUAUAACAAACAAGUAACAAGUGGGCCUAAAAGCAGCCACCUUUA
This 297-nucleotide ribosomal RNA is filed under the name Mantidactylus catalai. RNAcentral describes it as "partial 16S ribosomal RNA". It matches the Rfam family "Bacterial large subunit ribosomal RNA", at positions 706 to 1124 of the family's 2925-position model. The record is from RNAcentral. Lineage: Eukaryota; Metazoa; Chordata; Amphibia; Anura; Mantellidae.